AGUCACGUGGUGCGUAGUUCGCGCCAUUUUUCUCAAACAGCGGCGUGAGCGCGCGCGCGGCGGAUGACCCCGUCCAGCGUCAACAACAAUUUAGUUUGUUUUAAUAUUCGAUGUAAACUUAUAAUUAGUCACAAAUGUUCAACAAAGAAGUCUACAGUUAUAAGCGCAGGGUGGCGGGAAAGUCUUUGGAUGCCACGUGCAGUGUGCGGCACGUGGCCUUAAAUCGGCCUUCAGCAAAAAGACGGUGGUGGCGGGUUUAACGACACACAUUGACGCGGUCAACCCCAAAAACUAUGAAUGCUAUUGGUCGCGAAAGCGUACUGUUUAAAAAUAUGGUGUUUUGAGUGUGGUGAGAUUGGCGAUUUUGUUGUGGGAGGGGGGGGCCUAACGGAAAUCGUUGCAAAAUAAAAUAUUGAGAAGAGACGCAACAGUGCAAUCCUCUUAAAUGUGUUUCUUUGAGAAUGCCCUGGCCUUGCCAAAGUGCUGACAUUGCAGGUAGUGACGACUUAUCUUUCUACUGCAGUGCAAGCACUUGUAGCUGGGCCGUCUGGGUCAUCCACCGCACAAAAGAAUGUUGCACGUUGUGGUUGUCACGACGCUUUAGAGUUUUGGCAAAAUCCCCCCCCCCAGGUCGGGCAUUCGGAAUUGUUGUGUUGGUAAUUAGCGCGUUUUUUUAUAAGUUUACUGAUUUUCUUGCCUGCGCGUGUUCGCGUUGCCAGCCUUGUCCAGAUUUGAGCUUCCUGCGCGCGCAUGUGCUGUGCUUGCUUGUGUAAAGGUGCAUUUAGUGCAGAUAGUGGCAUAGCUGGCAUUCUACUGCUCUAUGUGCUCCUUCUUUCACAAGAAGUCACUUUGCUGCUGCUGCCGCUUCCUCAUUCCUGCUUCCAUCCCUGGACACACCCCGCCCGUGCGCCAUAUGCCCCCCCCCCGGGGCGUGCUACCCAGCUUGGGAUUUUCAUCGGCCGUACCGUCGACUUAAUUGACGCCAAAUGUAGUGUUGUCGACUGCUGGCAAGACUGCGACUCUUGGGUCGACAUUGCUCACCUGUACUGCAAGUGAAAUUACCGCUUGCUCUGCCUGAUCAAUCUGUCCCCCCCACCCCCUCUGCACCAUUUGUUCCAUUAAAUCCAAGCUGAGAUAUUGCGCUGCUGAUAAUUCGCACCUGGUGGUGGGGGGGGGAUAAAUGUGUGCUGUGGUGCUGUGCUUUUGUCAGGUUGGGGGGUGGGGCAGGAGUGCACUUCGACCUGCGGCUUGCUCGCUCUACGGUGGCGCUUGUGCAAUCGUGUGGCGCUGGAUUCAGGUGGUGAUUUUUUUUUAAACACGCGGUCUUGAAAUGGCAUAGCGGUGAGAUUUCAAAGUGAAGAAAACAAGGACUCAAGCCUGCUGUGGGCGUGCAUUGUUAAAGUGCAGAUAGUGGUAGUUGGUCCUAAAAAUGACAGCUACUCUAUUUACACUUUAAACACUGUGCGGUCCCAAUCCCCUCUGUCGCCUUCUGCUGGAUGGUUCAUUGUUUAACAGGAAAUGGUUCCCUGUAAAAGUUGAUGGGCUUCUGGUUUGACGACACGCUUCGUUUUUAGAGCCCAGUUGUGUAAUGAGCAGGUGGUGGGACUGAUUUGUCUUCAUCUUGGGCGAGUGGUUAAAUAUUAAACGGCAUGCGCACGUCCGUGAAAUUCUAAUUUAUUUUGGGUUUUGUAGCACGAUGUGGCAUAUUUUGCAGAGUUGUGUGCUUUAAAAUUGCUUGCCCCCCCCCCAACACUGCUCUUGAAAAUAUUUCACGUUAAGCAAAUGUACUUGCAACUAAGUGCAAGGAUUCUUGAGUCCCAACAAAUGUAACUGCUCAGCCACUUGAGGCUGGCAUGGGUGCAAGUUCAGGUGCUAACCUGUUUAAAGGAAUACCUCGGAUGAUUAUCAACGUUCAGAAUUUAUGUAAUGUAGCUGGGAUGAUUGUUCUUACCCUGAAUUGGUACAUGGAGACAAUUUUUGCAAGUUUUUUUUUACUUUCUAUGCAUUUAGAGAUUGCACUUUUAAAAGAAGUGAAGAGAACAGGAUUCCUUUGCAUCGUCUCUGCGCUGGUGAGAAGGUGCCUCUGUCAGUUUUGCAGAUUUGCACUGCGGUGGUGCCUCGUUCCCAAGCUGUGCAAAUCCCCUGCAAAACUGAUGGCGACACUGCAUGUGCUCCCUACCUCGUGCCCCCAUCCCCUCGCUAAUGCUGCUGCAUUGUCAACUUCACUUGCAUCUUUUUUUUGCCUUUUGGAUACAUUGUAAAAUUCAUACAAGUUAUUUUUAGACUUUUUUUCUCGCCCCACAAUUGCUGUUGUAUUAAAUCGGAUGUAAUUACGAAAAAUUGUAAAAAAUGGUUUUUAAAGUAAUCGGCUGCCAUGAGUUUGUUUUAUUAGGUGGCGCAUGGUUGGGGAGAGCACCCGUCCGUGGCUGCUUGUGUUUUUGGGGUGUCUUGCGCAUGUGCUGAAUUACAUUUGGCUGAGACUUGCAACUUGCCCCUGCCCCCUCUUUCACGCGAGCCGGAUACACGUCUUUCCAAGGCUUUGGCAGAAGUGCUGAAAUGAAAACACGGGGGGCAAGGAUUGAACUAAGUAAUUUUGUUUGAACGGACCCUGGUGAUCCUCAAGUUACCUUCUGCUGUUGUAAUAUUCCCAAGGAUUGUAGCCUUUCUCCUACAGAGUUGACCCGUCAUGAACCCCUCUCCCUUCCAAUGAAGGCAUCUAAAUUCAGCUUCUCCCAUUUUCUCACACGCAUGCUGUCCCUUAGUCUCAUUACAGCAAUCUCGAAUUGCAUGCUUGGUGCAAGGUUUGUACUGUUGUCCUUUUGGAAUCGAGGUUUAAAGUAAAAUCCUGUAAGUGCUGAAUGUCCUAUUAUCCAUGCAGAAUUGAUAAGAUACGUACACUUGGAUGUGGUUCUCACCAUUGACUUGCAGAAUUUGCGUUGGCUGCGGGUGGACAAUUGCGCAUUAUUUUGCUGUCGAGCAUUUAAUAUUCAUUGCAUGUUUGCGUUUUUGUUAAAUUAUGGUGCCUUUCAUUAUUGUAACUGAUGUGCGUCAUAUUUUGUUAAUGCUGCCAAUGUCUUGCCUUUACAGCAUUUCACGUGUCCGUUUAUACCUGCAAGUUGUGCUGCGUGUUAACCAGCCUUGCAGUAAAUUGUAUACAUGGGAAGCAACAUUGUGCUCUUUACCGAUGCCUCUGCUGCUUUCUGUGCUAUAUAGUUCAACACUGGCCAUUUCUGCAAAACGAUGCUUGGUGUGUAACCUUGACUAGAAAUGUAAAUGCAAGUCUCCUCGUUCACCCAACUGUUUUGCCUCAACCUAAUCCCUUGCUGUUAAAUAUGGGGACAAUAAUGCUUUUAUCUAGCACUUUUCCCACGCUCAAUGCACUGAAUGGUAAAACUAACCUUUAUACAUACUAGAGAGAAUAUUACAUGAAAAACAAUGACCUGUAAUAAAGCUAAAGAGCAUUGCAGGGACAGAGAAUAUACAGAGGAAGAGGGACUUUAAGCCAGUUAUGACCUUUUGAACAGUCUUUAGUUGAUUUGAAGGUAAAUAUCGACUCAAUCCGAUGUUGCAUAGCCUCGGGGCAACUGACAUGAGUUUAGCACGCAACCUCCCAGCUUGCUAAUUAUCUUGUAGGUCCACAUUGAUUACACGUUUGGCGGGAUUAUUUAGUGGCAGGACUUUGCUUGUGGUGUUAUGUCUGCCCACAGGGUGCCAAAGUGCUUAUAGUGCAGGUAGUUGAUCUUAGUCUACUGCAUUUUGAGCACUUGUAGCACCAGGUGUGGAAAAACCAUCCUGUAGGUCCGUAUUGUAAAAGUUUAUGGAUACCUCCUCACCUUGCAACUGAACUACAGGCCUUUCUAAUCGUGUUGCUUAUGUUUGAAUUUUAAAACGUUUGCACCCUUCAUGCUCUCCCUGCCAGUUUUGCAUGUUUGCUGUCGGCUUGUCAAAAUGUGCUGUGCAAAUCCAUGCAAAACUGACGGUGAGUGCACCUCCGCUGACUGCCCACAUCAACCCAGCAUGUCUUCACGGUCUGCAACAGAUUCGGUGUUGCCCUGUCGCGCAUUUUGGGAGGUUGCCUUGUGAUUUAUUUAUUGUUGCAUCUUUAUACAACGCGUUCCCUGUCCCGCUGAGGUCAGGAUGGGCAGCAAUGCGUGACUAGAUCCUGUAUUGCACUCGUCCCGGCCUUAGCGAGAUUUAUCGGGUAUCCGAUCAUUUUCAGGGGAAUGAGGUGCAGCCUUGAAGUGGCAUUUUUGUUUUACCACCUUGUCAGUGUUCAUGCCUUUUAAAAGUAACUACUCACAGCUUUUAAAAUGCUUUAUGCAAAUUGGGUGGGUAAAGUUAUUUCCUUCGUGCCAUGUGUAUUUGAAAAGUUAUAAAAUGUUAAACGGUUUGAAAUAUUCUGCCUUUUUAAACUGAACUGUAAUGUGAACGCCUGUGGCCAGAUUAAAACUUAGACUUUGAAUACCACUGAAAUGUAAAUUAAGUUUGUUUGUGCCCCAAAUUGGUUUUGGUUUUAAGUGUAUUGACAUGCUGCUAUCACUUUGGUAUGUCAAAUAUUGGUAUUAAUUGGAUUGUACAACUAAUUGUAAGUAAAAUCUGUGGGUGGCCACAACUCUCCCAAGGUUUGCCAAGCAGUUAAUUGCGGCUUGACAUGUUUGCGUCAUCCCUUAAUUGAGACAAGGGAAUAUCGAGUUGCAACAGUGUCUGAAUUUUAAUAUACCUCUGGCUCGGCCAACGGUUUUGAGGUCGAAGGGAUUACAUAAAUCUAUACCAAAAAGGGCAUUUCAAUCGACGUUAAAUUCAGGAAUAGUUUGCAAUAUUAGUAACUGUUAUAUUGAAUGAAUCGUGACCCUUAUGCAGACAUUGGUUGCUGUGCAUUACCAUUUUCUAACUUCAAAUGCUAUUAAUAAAUUGACAAUGUUAAUGGUUACGUUUACUGCAAUUUGAGGUGCAUAUUUGCGAACCAAUAGUCCUGAUUUUGUUCAAAGUUGGUUUAUUUUGGAUGAAAAGUGUUUUUUACGGGUUUGUUUGAUUCAUUCCGUAAUCCAUUAAGUUAAUUUUCAAUGUGGGUGCCAACAUGGUAAGGAAUGGCAUUUUUUGAAACAAAUGUUUUUCAUGUUUGAUUUGACAUUCUGGCAAUGUUGUCUUGGUUUGCAUCACCACUGCUUGGGCCUGCCAAGCUUGUAAACAUUUGGCAAGGGCCCAAAAGACUCAAUUUAGCCAGUGGCGUCAAUGGCACACAAAUAUUACGCAUUUCAUCACUGCUUAAUGUGUGCAAAGGCUCCCAAUAUUAACCUGACAAGUUGGAUCUAUAAUUGCUCUGGAUUUUAGAAACCAUUUGCCGUAUUGAAGGCACUCGGUUUUGCAGUAGUUUCAAUUACCAACCUCGGCAGAAGAUUAUUUUGUGGGGGUGUUGGCGACAUCCACGGUCCCUUCAGUUGCCUUCCGAAAGUGUAGGCGCCAGGGCUGCGCCUUGUGACCUGACAUUUUGUAACGCUCAAACUAUUUUGUAAAGUGGCGUUUUAUCACGUUAAUUCCUACUCGCAAGUGUUAGAGCUAUCGUUGGCGAGAGGUUUUCUGGAAUUAUCCAGCAUGCAGAUCUCAAACUAACCUUUUUGAACAUUAUUCUAGUCGGACUUGCAAAAAUAACUUUCUAAAAGGUGGUGUCAUGUGAAAAGCAGCAGUGCGUUUGUGGUUUGAACGAACCACGUAGACAACGUAUGCCGCUUUUCGUGGGGGAGGAGGGUGGGGGGAGUGACAUCUUUGUAACCUGCAUAGUGCAGGCUGAAACCUGUCGCUGGCCGUUAGCCCAAACAAAACAACCCAACUCGUUCUCGCUGGUUCGAGUUAUGCAGCGCGAUGUCUGCCGAUAGCGGCAUUCAACACUGUCCUGGGGCCACAGGUGAGCAACUCCGGUUGGAAUUGGGUGGUGGGGGGGGGACCGGAAAGGGAAGGGGGCUGCCCUUUGUCCCCGUGGGCGCUGGGUGGAGGGGGGGAGAUGCGGGGUCUCGUCUGGACGGCGCGAGCAGGCGGAGACUGGAGCAAGUGCUCUACACUCGUGGUGGCAUUGCACUAGUCUCAGUCUGCCCGAGUCGCCGCCCGAAACUUUCACCACCCCAAGCCCGCUGUGUUGUCACCGUUGUGGUGUGGCGGUCUCCGUCUAAGCAAAAGGAGGCGAACGAACUGCCGUUGGUGUGAGGCGCUGUGAAUCUGAAAUGUAAACAAUCUCUUGGUCACAACUUGGAAGUAUAAUGGGUCGCAAUGCUCGAAGUUGAAGCCGACAGUCUCGUAUUUAACCUCCGUUUCGUCAUGUACCCCGACGGUACCACCGUCUAGACUCGGGGCAUCACUAGCCCGUCUGCUUUGUGUCAACUCGAAACUGCUAUGCGGUGCUGUCGACCUCAGGUAUUUCGUAUUUCUAUGGAUGUCUUGUCUCCCCGCACCCCUCCCCAUUCGUACGUUUCUGAAUAAAAAAAUAUACUUUAA
Petromyzon marinus (sea lamprey) is the source of this 6486-nucleotide long non-coding RNA. RefSeq lists it as uncharacterized. NCBI's taxonomy places the organism in Eukaryota, Metazoa, Chordata, Hyperoartia, Petromyzontiformes, Petromyzontidae. The record is from RefSeq and is a predicted model, not a curated record.